UACGUAGGGUGCAAGCGUUAAUCGGAAUUAUUGGGCGUAAAGAGCGUGUAGGCGGCUAGGUAGGUCCGUUGUGAAAACUCGAGGCUCAACCUCGAGACGCCGAUGGAAACCAUAUGGCUAGAGUCCGGAAGAGGAGAGUGGAAUUCCUGGUGUAGCGGUGAAAUGCGCAGAUAUCAGGAGGAACACCAAUGGCGAAGGCAGCUCGCUGGGACGUGACUGACGCUGAGACGCGAAAGCGUGGGGAGCAAACAGG
Molecule: ribosomal RNA, 253 nt
Filed under: uncultured bacterium
Lineage: Bacteria
Description: partial 16S ribosomal RNA
Rfam family: Bacterial small subunit ribosomal RNA
Source: RNAcentral